Molecule: long non-coding RNA, 2997 nt
Filed under: Sus scrofa (pig)
Lineage: Eukaryota; Metazoa; Chordata; Mammalia; Artiodactyla; Suidae
Description: lncRNA (ENSSSCG00065042148.1)
Source: RNAcentral
UCUUGUGUGCUGGUUGCAGGAGUUCAAGCUCUCCCCUUACUUAGCAUUCCAUCUUACUCUUUAGCUCCAGGGAAAUUUUUUGCUGAACAAGAAAAGCAGUAGGAGUGUUUUGCCUUUACUCCUUUACUAAAUAGCAGGUGUCCAGGUUUUGACUGCCUAUUACAGACUUCGACUGUGAGAAAAUGGCACUCAGAUUCGGCCAACAUCUCAUCAAGCCCUCUGUGGUGUUUUUCAAAACAGAACUGUCCUUUGCCCUGGUGAACAGGAAACCUGUGGUCCCAGGACGUAUCCUUUUUUUUUUUUUUUUAAGAAAGGAAAAAUAGAAAGCCUCUGAAUCUAACAGGCCAAAUGAAUAUAGAAUUGACCUCUGGUUUGUUGAAAAAGGUAAACAAGGAAUCCCUUGCAUUCCCCCCUUGGAGAAACCAGGUAAGAUGCUAUUCAUAUCUAUUCUCAAUCCAUUUGGUGGCACCAGUAAUAUGCUUGAUCAAUGUUGCAGAACUUCUGAAAAGAGUUGCUUAGCAACCGUGGCCUUGGAGGUGAAUCUUUGCUUGACCUUUUCGCUAUGGUAGCUAUGUAAAUAAAUAGGUGCUUCUAAGAUGUACCCAGUGAGGAUCCUGAGCACUUUGUUUUUGCCUAACAGUUGUGAAUUUUAAUAGAAAGAUAGAGAUUGUUGGCACUCUUGUGAUGUGGAUGUAAGGUAUUACAUGAUGAUUAGAGACAGACUUGGUUUCUUUACCUCUGGGAGAUCAUUCGAGCUAUGAAUUUUAAUUAAAUUCAAAUAUAUCAGUACGCUUACACAUUUUUUUUUAAUGUUAGGCUCUGAAAUAGCAUUUUAUCUUGGAAAACAUCCCAUCUUUUAGGUCACUGUCCAAUGCCAUUGAUGGUAGAGUAUUUUAUUUCCCUCUGACCAGAGAUUUCGGUAGAAACUUGAUUCUUUUACACUGGGAUAAGCAGGAUUUGGUAAAAUGCUCUGGAGAGUUAUUUUUAGGUUGUUGAAACUAUUACUCAUGACUGUAGGCAUAUGAUGUUUGUACUGAUUUUUCAGAAUGUUUUUCUCUCCUCCCCUCCGCCUCUCACAACUUAAUUUAUUAUGCAGAGGGCAGCAAGGUAUACAUUUCAUAUUUUGAGAUAGUAAGUGUUUCUUCCCUGAAACAUGGUUUUUCUUUGAAAUAAAUUUCUGAGUAAUUCCGAACCUAGAAAUGUGUCAAGAUUUUUUCCAGAGUAAGUUGUAUUUUUUUUAAUGGGAUUUUCAAAAUGGUUGAAAACUUCUUUCUUGUCAAUGUAAGUAUUCUACAUUAAAAAAAAAAUACAGAUAAUAAAACAUGCACCAAAACAUAAUUGUGAUUUUUAUGAUAGACUUUAUUUUUAACCUAAAUAAAUUCUGUAAAUUUACAAAUUAAUGAUCAUAUCAAUAAACAGGUAAAUAAUAUACAUUUCUAACAAAAACUAUUAGUAAAUAAUACAUACAUAAUAUUUAACUCUUUAUAAAAAUAUUUGAAAUAAGUGUAUAAGACUAGAAAAUUACAAUCUUGUGUUCAUUGAAAUUAAGACAAAUAGAAUGAGAGUUUGUAUAAAACAAUAAUUUUUAUGUUUUAUGCCAAUUUUAUAUUGAGUUUUUCCUAAAAGACCUUGAAGUUCUUAAAAUAACAGAGCAUUUUAUUUUCUCAUUUGAUUUUGCUGCAAGUUUUUGGUUGUCUUUUUCUUUUGUGGAAUUUCUUUUUUUUUUUUUUAAGCAAAAUGUCUGGGAAUUCCAGCGUCAAAAGAAUAUUGCUUUACAUGCCAUCUGUUUUUGGGUGCCAAUUUUAAAUUACUUUUUAUCAAAGAAUUGAGAGAAUUGGGAUAAAAAUGUGAAUUUAGAUAAAUCUUAAUGCCUUGGACAGAAAGAAUAGGAAGAUGUAGAGAUGCACUUUUAAAAAAAAUGGCUAAUAAUGGAAUUUUGCUUUGUGUGUGUAUGUGUGUGUGUGUAUAUAUUUUACCUCAUAUCUUGAUAGAAAUAAAGUUGAUUUUUCAUGAUCUUUUUAACCAGUUCUUAAAAUAUCAUGCAUAAAACCUGGGUCAUUUUUGAGUUUAAAUUCAAGAAAAGUUUAGGUAUCUGCCUCAAGGAAAAUGUUUAUACCGAAUAGUGAGCAGUGAGUGAAUGAUGACUAGUUUUGCUCCAGAUGGUGCUGGAAUUGCCAUUUUGGAACUGAGUCCUGUUCUGUUAACCAUUUCUUUAAGUAAAUGCCAAGAAUAAGAGGAUGAUUGUUUUAAAAUUAACAAACCUCAGUGAGGAAGGUAUUGAGGAAGACCUGGCCUUUCUGGGGGUGAGAACAGUGAGAACUGGAACUUUAUUGUAAUCAGUAUACUCUGGAAAGCUGUUUCACAUUUACAGUGUUUAAAGUGGUUUCAGGGCCAGUAGAUAAUAUAUUCAGGCAAUCCUUUUUAUAUGAUGAUUCUGUACCUUUUUAUUUUACUUUACCUCUAAGCUCUGUUAGGUGACAGUUGUGAGAAUAAUCUUAAUAAGUUACUCAUUUGCUAGCAAAAAGCCAUACUCUUUUGUCCUGUGAUUUGGGAAUUGAACCUUUGGAUCUCUGCCCACUAACAUUUCAUAAAUUAGAUGGUGAGAUGGCUGCAGUGGACUUGAAUCCCCCCAUGCUCUACCCUACCUGCCUUAUAUAAGCCCCUUGUUGUAUGUCUUCCAUAUCAUCUAGCUUUUUGCACACUCUGCUGCUAGACUCCUCCCGUCCAGACUGCACCUCACUCUAAACCAUAACUCUGAUCCUAUGAGUCUUCUAUUCCUUUGCAAACAAACCACUGAUGUAUCUCAUGAAUCUUUUUUUUUCUUUUUUCUGAGGAUAAGGUCCAAAUUCAUUAGUAUCUUUUAAAAAGAUUUUCAUUAUCUUAUGUCAGCUUCCCCACUUUUAACCUGCUUUCCCCACGCCCCUCUUUACCCUGCCUCUCUCUUCCCAUCCUUUUCAUUUCAACUAAAAUGCUUUGAUACCUGUCUUGCCCUCUUAG